GCCGCAGUGGCUCAGGUUGCCCUGACUACAUGCUGCUGUCACAGAGUGGGCAACACCUGCUGCCGUGAUGGCGUAGUGAUGGAGCUAAACUCUGCUGGAGCAGGAUUGAGCACGCCUGAUCUCAAGAAUGAUGCAAGGAGACUAAACUGACCCCUGCUGGUCGGCCUUCACGAAAAGACCACGGAGGGCCACACUCUCAUGGAAACAAUUCAAAGCACAGCUCACGGGGCUGCACCUACUGACCUACUCUCAGCUCUUGCCCAAAGACGGUCCUCUCGCCAAGGGCAGAGCAGUUCCACCGUCCGUAGCGAAACUGGUACUGGCACUCGUUGAUGCCCAGCUGAGCGCCCUCUCCAAUGACGAU
This is a non-coding RNA of Pimephales promelas (fathead minnow), 364 nucleotides long. Lineage: Eukaryota; Metazoa; Chordata; Actinopteri; Cypriniformes; Leuciscidae. The record is from RefSeq and is a predicted model, not a curated record.